Molecule: ribosomal RNA, 253 nt
Filed under: uncultured bacterium
Lineage: Bacteria
Description: partial 16S ribosomal RNA
Rfam family: Bacterial small subunit ribosomal RNA
Source: RNAcentral
UACGUAGGGGGCAAGCGUUGUCCGGAAUCAUUGGGCGUAAAGAGCGUGUAGGCGGCUUGGUAAGUCCGCUGUGAAAGUCCAGGGCUCAACCCUGGAAUGCCGGUGGAAACUGUCAAGCUUGAGUCCGGAAGAGGCGAGUGGAAUUCCUGGUGUAGCGGUGAAAUGCGCAGAUAUCAGGAGGAACACCGGUGGCGAAGGCGGGUCUCUGGGCCGAUACUGACGCUGAGGAGCGAAAGCUAGGGGAGCAAACGGG